This 440-nucleotide ribosomal RNA is filed under the name uncultured bacterium. RNAcentral's name for it is "bacterial SSU rRNA". It matches the Rfam family "Bacterial small subunit ribosomal RNA", at positions 9 to 451 of the family's 1533-position model. The record is from RNAcentral.
GAGUUUGAUCAUGGCUCAGAUUGAACGCUGGCGGCAUGCUUUACACAUGCAAGUCGAACGGUAACAGGGAGCUUGCUCCGCUGACGAGUGGCGAACGGGUGAGUAAUGCGUCGGAACGUGCCGAGUAGUGGGGGAUAACGCAUCGAAAGGUGUGCUAAUACCGCAUACGAACUGAGGUUGAAAGUGGGGGACCUUCGGGCCUCACGCUAUUCGAGCGGCCGACGUCUGAUUAGCUAGUAGGUGAGGUAAAGGCUCACCUAGGCGACGAUCAGUAGCGGGUCUGAGAGGAUGAUCCGCCACACUGGGACUGAGACACGGCCCAGACUCCUACGGGAGGCAGCAGUGGGGAAUUUUGGACAAUGGGCGCAAGCCUGAUCCAGCCAUGCCGCGUGUCUGAAGAAAGCCUUCGGGUUGUAAAGGACUUUUGUCUGGGAGCAAAU